CUGCUUCACAGUUCCGGGAGGAACAAACACACAUGGCUCAGCAGGUUAAUGACUGAAGUAGAUGGUAUGUGCUGUCUACCAGGCUGCCAAGAGAUCUCUUCCUGAGAACAACAGGAGAAACUGCUCCCAACAGUGCUGAAAGGUGCUGAGAUCUGUGAGGCACGCUGCACUAUCUGCCUCUGCAGAGCAAAGAGGUGGCGGUCUGGCUCUCUGGGGCCUUUUUGUAGUUUAUGGGAAACCGGCUCCACUCAUUGCUGUGUAGCAACCACAGGAAGUAAAAUGGGGCUGUGUGCAGAGCUGGUUCUUCUAGUAGCCUCUCCAGUGGAGGUGGGAAGGUAAGGACAAUGUGACCAGGUAAUAGCAGCAGCUUCACAUUCAGACGGGAGAGACAUUGU
Molecule: long non-coding RNA, 395 nt
Filed under: Mus spicilegus (steppe mouse)
Lineage: Eukaryota; Metazoa; Chordata; Mammalia; Rodentia; Muridae
Description: lncRNA (ENSMSIG00000025129.1)
Source: RNAcentral